Molecule: non-coding RNA, 1814 nt
Organism: Lactuca sativa (garden lettuce)
Lineage: Eukaryota; Viridiplantae; Streptophyta; Magnoliopsida; Asterales; Asteraceae
Source: RefSeq, a predicted model, not a curated record
GUCUAUCUUCCUUAUCCCUUUUACAUUUCUCCGAUUUUGCUUUUUCAGGGCUUUGCCACCAACUAUUUGUAUAUAUGUUUACAAUUAAUGGUUCCUCUAAUUCUAGAUUUCUGGAUCAUCAGGUUUUAUUGAUAAUCACAACAUAACCAUUGUUGUUAAUUUUCAGUAAACAGUUGGUCUGUUAAAUUGAUUUUUAAAUAUGUAGUAAACAUGAGGUUUUUCUGAUCAUAUCAUAUGUGAUAAAGUGUUGAAGAAGGGAGAGGAAGAAAGAAAAGUCAGGAAGGUAGUGGUGAUCAUGUGAUUGACAGGAAGUAUAAGCCUAGGAGGAAAAUUGGUAAUGGAUCUUUUUGACAGCUUUAUAUGAGUACAUUAUUUAUUUUCUCAUAUCGUAGCACCUUUGUUGUUCUUAUGUUAUACUUUUUUGUUGCAUUCUUCAAUGGUUUCCUUUUCCUCCGAGGAGUAAUUGUUCAAAGAUGAGAAGUUACAGUGAAAAUGUCGGUGUUCCGCACCUUAAAUGGAUCGGAGUAAUGAGGUCCAUGCUGCUAUUAAAUCAACAUGACAAUGAAGUUUUGCAUGCUCGAAUGAUGGGAUCUAGUCCAAGAUUAUUUCCCAUAAAAACUUUAAUCAAAAUCACUCCAUUCUAGAUUACAAAUCGAGCAAGAUCAAACAUAAUAUAAUCAAAGCAAGAUGAAGAUCAAAAAAAUCAAGCAAGAUGAAGACCGGAAACCUUCAACGAGAUCCAUUAGAACAGGGGGAGUGGGCAGCGGCCCCUGCCUCACUUGAGUGUCACAUCAGCAAGAACACCGCCCCUGGGUGCAGUAAAGGUGCGGUAGGGGGUCCACUGGCGACAUUCCAAGGGAGCACUCAUUCAAACAAUAUGAUUGGUCCCUUUUUUCUUAUCACCUCAUGACUGGUCUUUUUUAUUUAUUAUAAAAAUAAAAAAUUACCUAAGUGUGACACCACUCUUUGGGUGUGGUAUGAAACUACACUUUUGUGGUAGUUGUUGACGUGUCGCCUACGUGACAGUAAAAUGAGUGCAACUUUUGUAGCACCACUCCCUCCAACUUUACUGACAUCCGUGUCAAUGUUUCUAACCUUAAAAUCAACACUUGUCAGCUUUAAUAUCAACAUCUUCCCGGACGAACAAAACCUAAAAAAUCAAUUCUCAGUGUUAUGAUUCUUAAACUUAUGUUCUUAAUCCAUUCUAUUUUGGGUUCGUGUUCUGAAACUUGUGUUAUUAAUUCAUCCUCUAAAAAACCCUAAAGAACCUGCAGCAAGUAGAACGAUGGUGGUGCUCUAGGGACUGCUUUCUUGCUCUCAAAAAAUUAUCAAUCGAAUGGCAAUAUGAAUGAUCUCAACCUCUUUUCUCAGAUUAUCAAAGCUUGUGACUCAUUUUCUACAUACUCCAAGUAUCAUCUCUAGUAAUCUAUGUGACGUCGAUUCUACCAUAAAGGUUUAGUCAUGUAUCAAAAUAAGUAGAUUCUAUUGUUGUACUCCUAAAAUCUAAUUACACCAAGUUCACAAAUCUAUUACAAAUAAUGAUAUGAGAGGUGGCAUGUGUUUUGAUUCUUGUUAGGGUUGGUUGUGAUGUUGGUGGUUUGGUGUUCAAUGGCCAAUUUUUGAUAAAAGUUUCACAAAUUAUGGCUCAUGAUUUAAAAUUACAUGAUUUAGAGCAAGUGGCUUGUUUUGGUGUUCGAUUUUGGGGGAAAUGAAACGCUAUGUUGCUAUUAUAGUGGGCUGGGCUCAUUCUUAUAGUUUUAAUUAUUAAAGUACUAAAGUGAUAUAGAAAAGGAACUAAAAGAGCAAAACAAACA